RNAcentral lists this unclassified non-coding RNA (295 nucleotides) under plant metagenome. Its description in RNAcentral is "partial contains small subunit ribosomal RNA, internal transcribed spacer 1, and 5.8S ribosomal RNA". The record is from RNAcentral.
UUUCCGUAGGUGAACCUGCGGAAGGAUCAUUACAAAAAAUAAGAGUAGCAAUACUCUUGCUCGAAGAGUUUGGCGUUCCCCUUCCACCCCUCUCUUUUUUUGUCGCAAGACAAAAGAGAAGGGUGGUGGAAAGAACAAAAAACGAAUUGAGAAAUCUUUUGUGCACCGUAAAAACAAAUUCGCGUUUAAAUCUUCUGUCUGAUGUACAUUUACAGUUUUCGCGAACCGGAUUCACGUCCAUUUGCAAGAAAAGAAAACAUAAAAAUAACUUUUAACAACGGAUCUCUUGGCUCUC